RNAcentral lists this ribosomal RNA (249 nucleotides) under uncultured Actinomycetales bacterium. RNAcentral describes it as "partial 16S ribosomal RNA". It matches the Rfam family "Bacterial small subunit ribosomal RNA", at positions 355 to 616 of the family's 1533-position model. Lineage: Bacteria; Bacillati; Actinomycetota; Actinomycetes; Actinomycetales. The record is from RNAcentral.
UGGGGAAUAUUGGGCAAUGGAGGAAACUCUGACCCAGCGACGCCGCGUGCGGGAUGAAGGCCUUCGGGUUGUAAACCGCUUUCAGCAGGGAAGAAGCGAAAGUGACGGUACCUGCAGAAGAAGCACCGGCUAACUAUGUGCCAGCAGCCGCGGUAAUACAUAGGGUGCAAGCGUUGUCCGGAAUUAUUGGGCGUAAAGAGCUCGUAGGUGGUUCGUCACGUCGGAUGUGAAACUCUGGGGCUUAACCCC